Lepidothrix coronata (blue-crowned manakin) is the source of this 799-nucleotide long non-coding RNA. RefSeq lists it as uncharacterized. Lineage: Eukaryota; Metazoa; Chordata; Aves; Passeriformes; Pipridae. The transcript is spliced from 4 exons. The record is from RefSeq and is a predicted model, not a curated record.
AAGCAGGAGGGACGGGAGGCUCCCUGAGUGCCCGCGCCAGCCCUCCCGUGCAGCGGUGGGCACCCCUGGCCGGCGCCCCAGGGCAGGGGCCCUGGCGGGGGCAGUGCAAGAAGGCACGCGAGUGAAUGCCAGCCGUGAGCUGGUUUUAAAAGCUCCUUCGAUGGUGCCUUAAACAUUUUCCUUUUGAAGAAGCCACCACCUUUCAACAGGUCUGAGAGCUGACUGAAGAGGCUGCUCAGGUUGCCACUUCUCUGCAGCUGCUCUAGAAGGAUUUAUAGGUUCCUCUGUGCUCAGACAACUGCUGCCUCCCCUUUCUCAAGCAGAUGUGCACCAAUUUUAGCUUCAGUAACUGUUGCCAUUGUGGACACCCUCAGAAUGACAGAAGAGGCAAAAUCAAUAGGAACUGGACACAGGGAGAGAGGAAUUUCGGUGAUGGAUAGAAGCUCAGUACUAGGUUGGGGUUUGUUACAUGUGUGGGUGCGAUUCAACUCCAAAUUCAAAUACAUACUUUUAGUCAUCUUCAUGCCCAAAUGAAUCUGUAGCCAAUUUUAAUCCAGGUCAAAGACUGCAUGCACCAGCAAAAUGAGACAACAUACGGAGUCAUUGAAAUACCUGAAACUCAUACUGAAUUCCAGUUCUCAGACAACAUAACUGCAUUAAACACAUGAAAGAAAUGCUGCUUUAUACUCAGGAUUACAGUGCCAUCACAGAGACACAGUCAGCUGAGAGAAGAGGAGGAAGGAAUUUCCUCACUUUCUUAUCCAGACCUCUGAGUAGGAGAUGCUGAGAGAGGAGCACA